This is a long non-coding RNA of Sander lucioperca (pikeperch), 1811 nucleotides long. RefSeq lists it as uncharacterized. The transcript has 3 exons. The record is from RefSeq and is a predicted model, not a curated record. Lineage: Eukaryota; Metazoa; Chordata; Actinopteri; Perciformes; Percidae.
GGCUUUUAUAAAAUACACAUGAAAGGACAGUAUAAUUGUUUUUGUUAGUAUUUUAAAAGUAAUUAAAAAUCGUUUUAAGGAGUGCUUCAUGUCUUAGACGGUAACAACUGCCAAGUGUCCUGAUAAGGAGCACAAGAGGUGGAUAAUGUUUGACAGGACUUUUGUGACGACGGAUCAAAGGUCCAAGUGUGUUUUCCUGUCAGAUCCACAUUCACACUUCAGACGGAUUUCUGUCGGGGGGAGUGUAAAUCUGAUCCGGGCUUUAUAGUGUGUGGGAGCAUCCUGUCUUCAGCAUCAUGGUGGAAUUGGCCUUCUACCCAGGGGUGGCACUGAUGUAUUUUUUCGGAGUGAUGAAAGCCACACAGGACGAUCGGGUGGAGCUGGAUGACCGUGCGUCGAUGAACGUGUUCUGUCUGUUCGUGUUGGCACAGCCGCUGUGUCUGGUACUGGGAGGAUACACUGGCAUGGCUACAUACCUCCUCACAGCUCUAGUCUCCUACAACUUCCUGCCUUGGAGGAAGACAAAACAGCCUGCGAAGGGAAAAGAAUCAAAAAAGAAGACUAAGUGAGAACAAGAAACGUACGCUGUAUGGAAAUGACAACACAGUGGAUUCAAACAGGUUGCAAAAGAAAAAAAUAUUUUGGCUAUUUAAAGAAUAAGCAUUCAAUGUGAAAAUCGUAUAUGAAUAAAUGAUUGUGUUGCUCAACCAUGCAGUAGUUAUUUAACCUGUUUCUACAAGGCUGCCACGGCUCGAUUCACAAAUGCAUUUCUUUUAAAAAGGGAAUAAUUUGUAGCCAACCUGGUGGCUCCUUCCAUUUCAGCCAACAACACAUAUUUGUGUGUGCAUCAGAAAUACAUUUGGGAAACUUCAUUUUUUAUAUGUGGAUUUUCUUUUUUACAUUUAUGUACAAUGAUAAAUAUUCUUAUGUGCAUUGAAAAUAUUUUGUGGAGAGUCAUUUAUAUAUAAAUCACAAAAUUAUUUGUGAAUCCAACUCAAUGGAUACCCAACUCAACAUGAAUAUGACUGACCAUUAAAUGAAUGAAAUAUCAAACACAUUAUACACAUUCAUGAGCAUUGCCAGAAAAUUUCACCCACAAAGACAUCAUUAUUACUAACACUUGGGGGAAAAAAUCUGCAUUGUGUUUUUUAUUUUAUUAUCCACCCAAUGUUCAUGAAUGACUGUGUCCCUCUGAUGUGCUUAAACCUGGUAGUGUGGAGAGUGUGAUUGUGUGCUGUGUAAAACCGGGCUCAAAGAGAGAGUGUAUGGGAUUAGACUGUGCUAUUAAGUCGAUAGUCCGAGGCUUUGUUCAGUGGUUGUGCAGAUGUUCGCUGUGUGCAUCUGAAAAACAGAUGGAUUUUUUUAUUGAAGAUGCUCAUGACUUCCCUCAGCAUUAAAAUCCUCUUUGAGUUCAUUUUGUAUGAAGUCAUUUUCUAGAUUCCCACAGUGUCUCACCCUCAGUUUUCUUACUAUAAGUGUGAAUUUAUGUAGCAUAAAUAAGGUAUCCUAUUGUCUCAAGCAUUCGCUACAAAGUUUGCAUUUCCAUUGUUAUUAGCUUUGAAAUCCUCUUUCAAAGUUAUACCAGUCCACGAGAAAAUGUUUGUUCAAUCUCCUAUACAAGCUGUAUAUAUGUGCAGUAUGUUCUCAGUUCACCAUGCUUAUUGUCACGUCAGUGGUGCUGCCUUUUGCUUCCUCCAUUAUUUAAAAAUAUCAUAAAUAGUCCGCCCCUCCUGAACCUCUACUGCUAAUUUAUUGCCUGAGAGCAUUCUUCUUAUUCCCCAGCCAGUCCUCCUAGAUGAAAAUGUCCCCUU